This 482-nucleotide ribosomal RNA is filed under the name uncultured bacterium. RNAcentral's name for it is "partial 16S ribosomal RNA". It matches the Rfam family "Bacterial small subunit ribosomal RNA", at positions 30 to 507 of the family's 1533-position model. The record is from RNAcentral.
AUUGAACGCUGGCGGCAUGCUUUACACAUGCAAGUCGAACGGUAACAGGCCGCAAGGUGCUGACGAGUGGCGAACGGGUGAGUAAUGCAUCGGAACGUGCCCAGUCGUGGGGGAUAACUACUCGAAAGAGUAGCUAAUACCGCAUACGAUCUAUGGAUGAAAGCGGGGGACCGUAAGGCCUCGCGCGAUUGGAGCGGCCGAUGUCAGAUUAGGUAGUUGGUGGGGUAAAGGCUCACCAAGCCAACGAUCUGUAGCUGGUCUGAGAGGACGACCAGCCACACUGGGACUGAGACACGGCCCAGACUCCUACGGGAGGCAGCAGUAGGGAAUUUUGGACAAUGGGCGCAAGCCUGAUCCAGCAAUGCCGCGUGCAGGAAGAAGGCCUUCGGGUUGUAAACUGCUUUUGUACGGAACGAAACGGCUCUGGUUAAUACCCGGGGCUAAUGACGGUACCGUAAGAAUAAGCACCGGCUAACUACGUG